CCGGCUCGCGCAUACUCUGCGCGACUCUGGCUGGAUAAAAGAGACUAUCUCGUUCACAUCCUGCUUUCUCUGCCAAUUUUUUGUCACAGGCUUUUUUACGUUUUAUACUAGGAGCACCUAGUAUUUGAAAUAUCCUCUUCUCGUGUCUUUCUCGUUUGAUCUGCACCUCCAGGCACAAUUUUAAUAAACAAAUGUGUAUUCAACCUGGUCCUUUCUUAUUUUUCAGUCAGUGUUUUCCAUAGCUGUCGUCGUAUUUCACUGCGUGGUUUCAAUUUACACAAUAUUUGAUGUGUUUCUCAGACAGACGGUGGUUAAAUAUUCUUAUACAAAUAACAUGGUUGCCGUUCUACUGUAUCACACCAUUGCAAUUACUGCAUUAUUAAUAUCUGGUCAAAGCGUCAAAAAUGAAGUUGGGACACUCAACAAAGCGCUGGCAAGACUUAUUCUAAAAGUUUCCACACAUUGUCCAAAAUCAGGAGCAAGACAAAUAAAGGAUGUGUAUCGCUUAGUGUGCACGAGUUCCAUAGUAAUACAAGCGAACAAGUAUCCUUUGGGCAUCUAUAUUCUUCCUGCGAUACUGUCAAUGUCGGCCACGUAUAUUGUCGUCAUGUUACAAAUUAACCAUGUUGUGUAAUUGUACAGUCGCAAAAAUUUCAACUUCGACGAAUAAAAUCCUUUAAAAUGA
Long non-coding RNA from Trichoplusia ni (cabbage looper), 685 nucleotides. RefSeq lists it as uncharacterized. The record is from RefSeq and is a predicted model, not a curated record. The transcript has 3 exons. NCBI's taxonomy places the organism in Eukaryota, Metazoa, Arthropoda, Insecta, Lepidoptera, Noctuidae.